This is a long non-coding RNA of Oreochromis aureus, 1104 nucleotides long. The record is from Ensembl. NCBI's taxonomy places the organism in Eukaryota, Metazoa, Chordata, Actinopteri, Cichliformes, Cichlidae.
GUCUGCCGCUUUUUUGUUUGUUUGUUUUGUUUUUUGUUUUUUAAUACUAGUGGCACCAUUAGUGGAAGUGGUGCUUGUAAACAAGGUCUUGUGGAAUCAGGUUGUUCCAGCACAAAGAAGAAAUCAGGCUUCAGAACCUUUAGAGACAGGAAUGAUUAGAAUUAUUUAAGAGACCAUCUAUGACUAUCAUAACAUGAAUGUUCACCAAAAACAUGCUUUCUGUUGAGGCUGCGCAUAUGCAACUGCUUGAAUUUGCGUUGCUGAAGGAAAAAGGAAAAAGUGACAGUUAUAAAGAUAAAUGCAAAGGAGGCUGUGACUAGACUAAAUAUACUGAUGUUCAUACUAGACCAGAUUAUAUGUCCAGCCCAACAUGCAGCUUCAUAGUAACUGUCCUGGGACAACUCUUCUGUCUCAGGUGUGUUUCACAGGCGGACAUUGGACCUAAUUGUAAAUAGCUGAGGCAGCCUUUUUUUGAAGUACUGUGUGUGAGCGAGGACUUUAGUGUGUUUUUAAAAGCAGGUGCAGUAGAUGCUAUGAGAUUUGUCCUGUUAAAAUGGUUUUGUCAUUCCUGCUUUAUUCCCUCAUCUUCCUUCCUCCCCCGACUAAAAGACUCGUGAACCAAAAUGGUGUCAUCAGCUGCUGCAUCUUCCCAAUUUGUGCAAAAUCAGCAUCUUGUGCUAUCAUCAGUAAACAGGAGGUGGAGGAAAGAAGCAAAUGGAGGCAUAGUUUACAAAUACCAAGGGGCACUGAUGGCACUGCAGGUUGUGUGCAGUUUUAUUUAUACUAUUGUAAGAAUUUGGCAUAGCAAUGUGAAUAUGUGAGAAAAUGACAAACUCUUCCCCUUCCUGUUAGUCCUGAAUAUGCAUACAGUUGCAUACACAUCUGCUAAUAAAUGCCUUUUUUUUUUCUUUUUCUUUUUCUUUAAAGAGUCGAGCCCAUCUGUUUGAGUGGUUGGACAGAAGGUGUCUGUGAUCUGAUUACAUGUGUUGAGAAUAAUGGUUGACAAUCUGGAGUGUCAUCUUGCCACCCUCUUUUGUUAGAAAAUGGAAAACAGAAACACUGGAAUGUCAAAGCUUUUUUUAAAUAAAACAAGGUAAAUGUGAG